CUAAAAAUAUAGCCUUAUCAUCCCCUAAUGUAUAAACCUUCUUACACAAUUUAAUUAAAACAUUUUUUAAACCUAGUAAAGGAGAUUAAAAAGUUUCUUAGAGCUAUAAUAAUAGUACCGCAAGGGAAAUAUGAAAUAAAAAUGAAAUAAAACUUAAGCAAUAAAAAGUAAAGCUCAAUCCUUGUACCUUUUGCAUCAUGGUUCAACUAGUCUAAUCAAGCAAAAAGAAUUAAAGUUUGACCCCCCGAAACUAAGUGAGCUACUUCAAGGCAGCUUAAUGAGCCAACCCGUCUCUGUUGCAAAAGAGUGGGAUGACCUUCAAGUAGAGGUGACAGACCUAACGAACUUAGUGAUAGCUGGUUAUUCAGGAAAAGAAUAUUAGUUCUACUUAAAAUUACAUUAAUAAUUAAAAAUUAAUCUAUAAUUUUAAAGCAAUUCAAAUAAGGUACAGCCUGUUUGAAUUAGGAUACAACCUCUUCUAAUGGGUAAACUCAAUAUCUAAAUAUAAUUAAGUAGGCCUAAAAGCAGCCAUCUUUAAAAUAGCGUCAAAGCUUAUUUAUUUAUCCUAAUUAAUAACACUAUUUUAUAUUAACCCUUUUCUACUACUGAAUAAUUUUAUAAUAUUAUAAAAAUUUUCAUGUUGAAACUAGUAACAAGAAGUUAAACUUCUCUUUAACGUAAGCUUAACUCGGACAGGAUUAACCACCGACAAUUAAUACCCCGAACUAAAAAUAGUAACUUCACAUGAAAACCCUAUUAUAUCUAAUAUUAACCUUACACUAGAACAUUUAAAGAAAGAUUUUAAAAAAAGGAAGGAACUCGGCAAACAUUAACCUCGCCUGUUUACCAAAAACAUCGCCUUCUGAUUUACAAUAGAAGGUCCAGCCUGCCCAGUGAACUAAUUCAACGGCCGCGGUAUCCUAACCGUGCGAAGGUAGCGUAAUCACUUGUUCUUUAAAUGAGGACUAGUAUGAAUGGCACCACGAGGGUUAUACUGUCUCCCUUUUUUAAUCAGUUAAACUAAUCUUCCCGUGAAGAAACGGGGAUAAACAUAUAAGACGAGAAGACCCUAUGGAGCUUUAAAUUACGCAACAAUUGUUAUAUCUUUAUAAUUUUAAGAAUAAUUUUAUAUUUAAACACUAUGAUCGCUAAUUUUUGGUUGGGGUGACCGCGGAGCAUAAAAUAACCUCCACAAUGAAAGAAGCUCUUCUUCUGAACUAAGAACUACAGUUCUAAGUACUAAUAAUUUAACAUUCUUUGAUCCAAUUUAUUGAUCAACGAACAAAGUUACCCUAGGGAUAACAGCGCAAUCCACUUCAAGAGCUCCUAUCGACAAGUGGGUUUACGACCUCGAUGUUGGAUCAGGGUGUCCCAGUGGUGUAGCCGCUACUAAUGGUCGUUGUUCAACGAUAAAA
RNAcentral lists this ribosomal RNA (1415 nucleotides) under Engystomops montubio. RNAcentral describes it as "partial 16S ribosomal RNA". It matches the Rfam family "Bacterial large subunit ribosomal RNA", at positions 354 to 2593 of the family's 2925-position model. Lineage: Eukaryota; Metazoa; Chordata; Amphibia; Anura; Leptodactylidae. The record is from RNAcentral.